Molecule: long non-coding RNA, 250 nt
Filed under: Capsicum annuum
Lineage: Eukaryota; Viridiplantae; Streptophyta; Magnoliopsida; Solanales; Solanaceae
Description: long non-coding RNA (CANN_LNC022055)
Source: RNAcentral
UUGGAGGGAUUUUUGGUGCGUUUGCUGACCCAUUUAGAGAAUUCUCCUUUGGUUAUGCCAGAUAUUCCUCCAGUUCAGAAUGUGGAUCUACCUGUUGCACCUGCUUUUAUUUUGGGUACUCCUCAGACCUCGAGUACUAUUUCUCCAUCAGUGUCAGCACCUGAGUAUUUGGGAUUAGGAUUCGUGGUUCAACCUUCAUCCGUGUUACCUCCUCAGUCGGGAUCUCAACCUGUCAGAUUUGACAUACCUC